Molecule: ribosomal RNA, 253 nt
Filed under: uncultured bacterium
Lineage: Bacteria
Description: partial 16S ribosomal RNA
Rfam family: Bacterial small subunit ribosomal RNA
Source: RNAcentral
UACGGGGGGGGUAAGCGUUGUUCGGAAUUACUGGGCGUAAAGGGCGCGUAGGCGGUCUGUUAAGUCGGAUGUGAAAACUCUGGGCUCAACCCAGAGCCUGCAUCCGAAACUGGCAGGCUAGAGUUCUGGAGGGGGUAGCGGAAUUCCUGGUGUAGCGGUGAAAUGCGUAGAUAUCAGGAAGAACACCAAUGGCGAAGGCAGCUCUCUGGGACGGUACUGACGCUGAGACGCGAAAGCGUGGGGAGCGAACAGG